GUGGUCCCAAACAUACCAUGUGGAUGCAUUUGUCCGAGGACAGACUAGACAGAGGUAGAGAGAAGCUGAUGUAUGAAGAUAGGGUGGACAGGACCGUGAAGGAGGCAGAAGAGAAGUUGACCGAAGUGUCUCAAUUUUUUCGUGACAAAACCGAGAAGCUCAACGACGAACUGCAGUCCCCGGAGAAAAAGCCACGCCCCAAAAACGGCAAGGAAUACUCUUCUCAGAGUUCCACCAGCAGUAGCCCCGAGAAAGUGUUAACAGAACUGUUGGCAUCCAACGAUGAAUGGG
RNAcentral lists this long non-coding RNA (291 nucleotides) under Rattus norvegicus (Norway rat). RNAcentral's name for it is "long non-coding RNA NONRATT017329". The record is from RNAcentral. Lineage: Eukaryota; Metazoa; Chordata; Mammalia; Rodentia; Muridae.